CUUUUGCAUAAUGAAUUAACUAGAAAUAACUUUGCAAAGAGAACCAAAGCUAAGGCCCCCGAAACCAGACGAGCUACCUAAGAACAGCUAAAAGAGCACACCCGUCUAUGUAGCAAAAUAGUGGGAAGAUUUAUAGGUAGAGGCGACAAACCUAUCGAGCCUGGUGAUAGCUGGUUGUCCAAGAUAGAAUCUUAGUUCAACUUUAAAUUUACCUACAGAACCUUCUAAAUCCCCUUGUAAAUUUAACUGUUAGUCCAAAGAGGAACAGCUCUUUGGACACUAGGAAAAAACCUUGUAAAGAGACAAAUGGAAAGCAAAAAAAAAAAAAAAAAAAAAA
Molecule: long non-coding RNA, 337 nt
Filed under: Homo sapiens (human)
Lineage: Eukaryota; Metazoa; Chordata; Mammalia; Primates; Hominidae
Description: HSALNT0312986
Rfam family: Bacterial large subunit ribosomal RNA (bases 58-174)
Source: RNAcentral